AUGGCCCCCGCCGCAGCCGCCGCGCCGGCGCCGGCCGCCACCGCCUGCUCCUCGUCGGCCAGCUCCGCGCGCCCUCCCUCCACCGCCUCCUCCUCCUCCCAGUCGCCGCCCAGGCGCACGGUCCCGGCGCUCCUCCUCUUCACCUCCCUCGCCGCCCUCCUCAUCCUCUCCUCCGGCGAGGCCCACGACGCCGACGCCGCGUCCGGCCGCCCCCUCAAAGAUGUUAGUUUCGAAAAUCCAGAGGUGACUUUUGCUCCCUCGUCCAUGGGUGGAAUCUUUUGUGAGCGAAUCCGCAUUUCUGGAAUACCAAGGUGGCAGUUUCAAAGCUACGCAAAUCAAAUACAUGUUCGAAUGAAUGUUUCUCAUUCAAUGCCAGAAAAAUUCCAUUGGAAAAUACAGAUUUGCUUUCAUGGGAAUGCUUCUACGGGUUUGUGCCAAUGUGAGAUGGAUGAAUGGCAAGCUCUGCAAGGUGGCAUGUGGAAUGCUGUGAAGUCUCCAUAUGCCAGCAGAUAUGUUGAUGUGAAACUGACUGAUAAGAAAUCUACUGUCUUCAGCCUUUCCAUUCAGGAAGAGCUUCAGAAGUGGCGUUUAGCUUGCCUUGGUAUUGGAUUUGUCCUGUUAUUCCUGUCACCCAUCGUUAGUAAAUGGGCACCUUUUUACUAUAGCAGCUCUAUGGCACUUGGAAUCCUACUUGUGGUGCUGAUUGUCCUUUUCCAGGGGAUGAAACUGCUACCGAUGGGCAAAAAAGGUUUAUUUUACCUUACAAUUUAUGGAUCUGUGUUGGGUGUUGGCUCCUAUGCUGCACACUACUUCUCCUCAAUGGUUGCCUCUAUUCUGGAAAACUUUGGCUUGAGCGAGGAGAUGCACAACCCUGUUUCAAUCUUUCUGCUGGUAGCAGUUGUUUUGACUGGAGCUGGUUUUGGCUAUUGGAUGGUGAGGAGAUUUAUCAUUUCAAAAGAUGGCAGUGUUGAUGCCGGGAUAGCACAGUUUGUAAAGUGGGCUAUGCGUGUUGUUGCAAUGUUCUUUGUUAUGCAGAGCACACUGGACCCUAUUCUAGCAUCGGCUGCUCUAGUUGCUAGCUGGUGGAUUUGCUCUGUACUGACGGCAAAGAAAGUUCACAAGCCAAUAGCACGGAAGCGAAAACAAUUAAAUGUGCCUUCUCAUCCAAGGUUUACUCAAGUAUCACCCAACACUCGCCAGGUCCAGUUCUUAAGUCCAUCAUCAGGGGCGGGUACUGGAAGAGCCACAACAACACAGUAUGGUUGGAACAAUUUAGCCAAUGGAGGUUUGGUCCCCUCAGCAAUGGGAAAGAGGGUAGCACCCAAUCAAGAUGAAGACUACUACUCCACCUUCCACAACAUCGAACCACGGAAAUACUCAAAGAGAGAAUGGGAGGAGUUCACCGAGGAAUCGACCAGAAACGCACUGAUGGUACACACGGCCACCCCAGAGUUCGCCCAAUGGGCUGCUGACAAUGCUCACCGGCUGCGGGUGGAGCGGGACGACGCGUCCGAGGACGAGUCGAUCGAGAGCUCCUCUAGCUCUUCCGAAGAAGCUGAGAAAGGCGGAAAAGCUUCCGGUCUGUUGAGCGGGUUUACGUGA
RNAcentral lists this ribosomal RNA (1602 nucleotides) under Triticum aestivum (bread wheat). RNAcentral describes it as "partial small subunit ribosomal RNA". The record is from RNAcentral. Lineage: Eukaryota; Viridiplantae; Streptophyta; Magnoliopsida; Poales; Poaceae.